GACGAACGCUGGCGGCACGCUUAACACAUGCAAGUCGAACGAGAGAAGAGAAGCUUGCUUUUCUGAUCUAGUGGCGGACGGGUGAGUAACGCGUGAGCAAUCUGCCUUUCAGAGGGGGAUACCGAUUGGAAACGAUCGUUAAUACCGCAUAAUAUAAUUGAACCGCAUGAUUUGAUUAUCAAAGAUUUAUCGCUGAAAGAUGAGCUCGCGUCAGAUUAGCUAGUUGGUAAGGUAACGGCUUACCGAGGCGACGAUCAGUAGCCGGACUGAGAGGUUGAUCGGCCACAUUGGGACUGAGACACGGCCCAGACUCCUACGGGAGGCAGCAGUGGGGAAUAUUGCACAAUGGAGGAAACUCUGAUGCAGCGAUGCCGCGUGAGGGAAGAAGGUUUUAGGAUUGUAAACCUCUGUCUUCAGGGACGAAAAAAGACGGUACCUGAGGAGGAAGCUCCGGCUAACUACGUGCCAGCAGCCGCGGUAAUACGUAGGGAGCGAGCGUUGUCCGGAAUUACUGGGUGUAAAGGGAGCGUAGGCGGGAUCGCAAGUCAGAUGUGAAAACUAUGGGCUUAACCCAUAAACUGCAUUUGAAACUGUGGUUCUUGAGUGAAGUAGAGGUAAGCGGAAUUCCUAGUGUAGCGGUGAAAUGCGUAGAUAUUAGGAGGAACAUCAGUGGCGAAGGCGGCUUACUGGGCUUUAACUGACGCUGAGGCUCGAAAGCGUGGGGAGCAAACAGGAUUAGAUACCCUGGUAGUCCACGCCGUAAACGAUGAUUACUAGGUGUGGGGGGACUGACCCCUUCCGUGCCGCAGCAAACGCAAUAAGUAAUCCACCUGGGGAGUACGACCGCAAGGUUGAAACUCAAAGGAAUUGACGGGGGCCCGCACAAGCAGUGGAGUAUGUGGAUUAAUUCGAAGCAACGCGAAGAACCUUACCAGGUCUUGACAUCGUAUGCAUAGCUCAGAGAUGAGUGAAAUCUCUUCGGAGACAUAUAGACAGGUGGUGCAUGGUUGUCGUCAGCUCGUAUCGUGAGAUGUUGGGUUAAGUCCCGCAACGAGCGCAACCCUUACUGUUAGUUGCUACGCAAGAGCACUCUAGCAGGACUGCCGUUGACAAAACGGAGGAAGGUGGGGAUGACGUCAAAUCAUCAUGCCCCUUAUGACCUGGGCCUCACACGUACUACAAUGGCUGUCAACAGAGGGAAGCAAAGCCGCGAGGUGGAGCGAACCCCUAAAAGCAGUCUUAGUUCGGAUUGUAGGCUGCAACCCGCCUACAUGAAGUCGGAAUUGCUAGUAAUCGCAGAUCAGCAUGCUGCGGUGAAUACGUUCCCGGGCCUUGCACU
RNAcentral lists this ribosomal RNA (1339 nucleotides) under uncultured bacterium. RNAcentral's name for it is "bacterial SSU rRNA". It matches the Rfam family "Bacterial small subunit ribosomal RNA", at positions 28 to 1387 of the family's 1533-position model. The record is from RNAcentral.